RNAcentral lists this ribosomal RNA (253 nucleotides) under uncultured bacterium. RNAcentral's name for it is "partial 16S ribosomal RNA". It matches the Rfam family "Bacterial small subunit ribosomal RNA", at positions 524 to 776 of the family's 1533-position model. RNAcentral also lists the same sequence under 1 other name. The record is from RNAcentral.
UACGGAGGAUCCAAGCGUUAUCCGGAAUCAUUGGGUUUAAAGGGUCCGUAGGCGGUUUUGUAAGUCAGUGGUGAAAGCCCAUCGCUCAACGGUGGAACGGCCAUUGAUACUGCAAGACUUGAAUUAUUGGGAAGUAACUAGAAUAUGUAGUGUAGCGGUGAAAUGCUUAGAGAUUACAUGGAAUACCAAUUGCGAAGGCAGGUUACUACCAAUAUAUUGACGCUGAUGGACGAAAGCGUGGGGAGCGAACAGG